UUUGUGUAUAUUUUAUGUAGUGAUGGCAAAAUGAAGCCCCAUAAAGCAGUGAAACCCUGCAGGGAAAUACUUCACACACGCUUCGGGGCUUCAAGAUGAAUCAUUUCCUCGACGACACCAUCAUGUGGACAGGAAA
This is a long non-coding RNA of Hippocampus comes (tiger tail seahorse), 136 nucleotides long. RefSeq lists it as uncharacterized. The transcript is spliced from 3 exons. Lineage: Eukaryota; Metazoa; Chordata; Actinopteri; Syngnathiformes; Syngnathidae. The record is from RefSeq and is a predicted model, not a curated record.